AGAGCGAACGCUGGCGGCAGGCCUAACACAUGCAAGUCGAGCGCCUCGCAAGGGGAGCGGCAGACGGGAGAGUAACACGUGGGAACGUACCCUUCAGUUCGGAACAACCCAGGGAAACUUGGGCUAAUACCGAAUACGUCCGUAAGGAGAAAGAUUUAUCGCUGAAGGAUCGGCCCGCGUCUGAUUAGCUUGUUGGUGAGGUAACGGCUCACCAAGGCGACGAUCAGUAGCUGGUCUGAGAGGAUGAUCAGCCUCACUGGGACUGAGACACGGCCCAGACUCCUACGGGAGGCAGCAGUGGGGAAUAUUGGACAAUGGGCGCAAGCCUGAUCCAGCCAUGCCGCGUGGGUGAUGAAGGCCCUAGGGUUGUAAAGCCCUUUCGGCGGGGAAGAUAAUGACGGUACCCGCAGAAGAAGCCCCGGCUAACUUCGUGCCAGCAGCCGC
RNAcentral lists this ribosomal RNA (444 nucleotides) under uncultured bacterium. RNAcentral's name for it is "SSU rRNA". It matches the Rfam family "Bacterial small subunit ribosomal RNA", at positions 26 to 518 of the family's 1533-position model. The record is from RNAcentral.